RNAcentral lists this ribosomal RNA (119 nucleotides) under Scophthalmus maximus (turbot). Lineage: Eukaryota; Metazoa; Chordata; Actinopteri; Pleuronectiformes; Scophthalmidae. The record is from RNAcentral.
AGCCACGGCCACACCGCCUGGUUCACGCCCGAUCUCGUUUGAUCUCGGAAGCUAAGAUAGGGUGGGCCUGGUUAGUACUUGGAUGGGAGACCGCCUGGGAAUACCAGGUGUUGUAAGAU